Molecule: unclassified non-coding RNA, 554 nt
Filed under: Phleum exaratum
Lineage: Eukaryota; Viridiplantae; Streptophyta; Magnoliopsida; Poales; Poaceae
Description: partial external transcribed spacer
Source: RNAcentral
UAGCUUUGGACCCGUGUCUGCUGGUAGAUCCCCCGUCUUUGUGCGGCCGACUACCGGCGCCGUGUCCCGUCAGUCCCGUCGCUUAUGUUGCCGUUGCCUUUUUGAAGUGCUUGUGUGCUGCUACCCGAACUAUGGGAAAUGGUGCUAUGUUUUACACGGUUGCCUCGCGGUGGACGCCUUUGGGUGUGCCGCUGCGGCCAAAUGGCGCUUGCGGCGUUACGUCGUGGUGCAGGGCAUGUUUACUCUGUCUGUGCCGUCAACGCAACCUCGCUCUUGCCGUUGGUCUCGGAUGUUGCUAACGAUGAAGUCUCUUGGCCCAUUUGGUUGCCUUGACCCGACCCUAAGGAGCUCUCCGAACUUGAGAACAACCGGAACAGGUGUUGCCUCUACCUCUCCAAAGUUAGGUUGGUAGGAUAUGCAACAUUUUGCGCCGAUCCUCAUGCCAGUAGGACGAGCUUGGCCCGCUCAAUCGCGACAACCAGCCCGGCUGUUGCCUCUGCCUUGCCACGCAAGUGGACGGGCGGACAACUGCUGACGCUGGACGUCAAAGAGGA